CGGCGCACGCGGCGCACAGAGGCUGUCGUAACGGCGUUUCUGGGAAACUGAUUCAAGCCGCUGCAGGAGACGAUGUAAAGUUUCCCCUCACAGAGGAGUGCAUGAAAGGAAGAGGCACGCUGAAACGUCGCCUGCAGGACAACAGCCUCCAUUCAGUCGGGGAUCUCGACGGCAGCUGGAAGCCGGCUCCAGGUUAUAUUAACAGGUUUUUCCAAAGCAGCGACUCUGUGAUGCUGACCAGUGCAGACAUCAGUGAUGAAGGCUAUUACGAGUUUGACUGCAACAACCAGAGAGAAGAGAGUGCACAGCUGCAGGUAUUCAUACCUUCUGAUGUUUUUGUACACGAGGGCGAGGAUGCCAUCCUCCCGUGCCGCUCCAUCACAGCAGGUCAGUGGGUGAAGUCUGUGCGCUGGAGGAGAGAUGGAGAGGUGGUGCUGGAUGUCCGGUCGGGGAAAACCACAUAUGGAAAAAGCUUUGAUGAAAGCCGGGUCUCAAUACCAUCAGACUGGGACCAACGAGCAAACCUGUCCCUCAUCAUAAAGCGAGCCGAGGCGAGAGACAGAGGAGUUUAUUACUGUGACAUCGACAAAGUGGAGAAACACCGCUCCGCUGUCCGCCUGCACGUCUCCACACCACCAACACCACCAACACCACGGAGCACCACAUCACAGCCUACAACCACAGAGAGGCCAUCAGAGUGCUCUGACUGGUCGUGGAGAACAUUCUCCAUAACAGCAGCUGUAUGUGUGAUCGUUGCCCUGCUUGUUUGGCUCUGCUGGUUUUUGAGGAACAGGAUAGACAAUGUGUGCACUCGAGGUUUUCUCUGCAACGACACAGAGGAGGGAAGAGGAGGGGCUGAAGAGAGCAGAGAAUCAGACUGUGACCAACAACACAUGCUAAAGUCAAACGGGAACCCUGACUUUACCCACCACUGAGGAAUGAAAAACAACAACAGCUAACCCCUUUAAGUAUCUGAACUCGCCACCUUUAUGACGGUACCACUGUGCAACUCCACUUUCUCAGGUUUACAAAUUCCCCGUUUUCCUUCUGCUGAAUCUGACUGCUGUUACAAUGUUUGAGAUUGUCUCUAUUAUUUUGUCUUCCAAUCAAUCAAGUAAUGCCGCUAAAUCGUCUGCUUACAUAAUCGGCAUAUAAUUUAGCUUCAAGAUGGAUAAAUGAGAUCUCUUCAAUAAUAACAUUUAUCCCUCACACAAAUAAAUAUGAGCUUCACACUUUUGUGCACACAACCCUAAAAUGUAACAGCACAACAAUCUGUGUCAAAACCUCAUGGAGCAGUUCAAUUAUUUGUUAUUUGUAACGUUUUAUAGCACUUUUAUUCUGCUUAUAUUAUUAUAUACUCAGUAUAUUGUCCUGCUAGUUUGUGUAGAUUUACAAUCUUUCCUCUGUUUACUUUUCUCUUUGUAAAAAGCCAAUAAAGUUGGUAACAAAGUCACGCUCUAACCUGAUGCAGAUAAAAAG
Long non-coding RNA from Oreochromis aureus, 1479 nucleotides. The record is from Ensembl. NCBI's taxonomy places the organism in Eukaryota, Metazoa, Chordata, Actinopteri, Cichliformes, Cichlidae.